Long non-coding RNA from Phasianus colchicus (ring-necked pheasant), 279 nucleotides. RefSeq lists it as uncharacterized. The record is from RefSeq and is a predicted model, not a curated record. NCBI's taxonomy places the organism in Eukaryota, Metazoa, Chordata, Aves, Galliformes, Phasianidae.
AGAGCGGAGUGGGUGGGACUUCCGGCUACGUAACUUCCGGCUACGGGGCUUCCGCCGUUAGCAGGGGCCCAGCAGCACCAGGAGGACUUGUAGAACCUGAGAAAAAUAUCCUUCACUGAGAAGCAACGAUGUCUACCAGAAUAAAAGGAGACUGAGAGAAGCAGGAUUAGGGCAGAAUUUAGUGCCUCAACCGCCUCCAGGGAUCCACGGGGACGAGCACCCGGGCCGGGCCGCACUCACCCGGGCAUACUUGAGCACCUCCUGCACCCUCCAGAAGCG